Molecule: long non-coding RNA, 1463 nt
Filed under: Nicotiana benthamiana
Lineage: Eukaryota; Viridiplantae; Streptophyta; Magnoliopsida; Solanales; Solanaceae
Description: long non-coding RNA (NBEN_LNC007951)
Source: RNAcentral
UUUAUUUGUAGCAGUUUGAGGUGGAUUUGAGUUCUAUUUACUCUUUUUGCGAUGGUAGAAAGAUGGAUGGGGGAAUUCAAGUUUUAUACUUUAUGACUGAUGAGAAAACUAGAUACCUAUUUGAUCAUUUGUGUGCAGUUGUGCGAUUUCGUGUUUCCUGGGCGUUGGAAAGGUUGAGCUCGGGGUUGCGUUUUCUGUGAAUGCUGUUAACUCAGGUUCGACUUUUUAUUAUCAAGCAGUGUAAUCCUGUUCUUAAUAUUUGUCUUCUUGAUAAGAUUACAUAAUGGAGAAUAGUGGCGGAAUGCAUAAUGCAAACAAGCUGACAUGGGCAAAUAUUUAACUCAUGUGAAUUUGGUGCCUUUACUCUUGGUCUCCCUGGCAUACAUGUUGAAUGCUGUUAGUGAGCAGUGUAGUAAGAAUUUUGUCAUCGGUGUACUUAUUGGUAGUGAACAGUAGUCAAAGAUGACCAGUAUGUGAGGAUUCAUUUUAUUGCUUUUUUGUCUUUGUUCUUUUAAGGGCUACUUCAUAUAUUACCCGAUUGGAGCAGUUUUGAAAUUUCUGUACAAAAGUAUAUUUGAGCUUAUGUUUACUCUGUUCAAGUUCAUUGAGCAUGGAGGUCUAAAACUUUGAAAGAUUUUCAUCAAUGUUGGAACAAGAUAAUCGUUAUUCUUGUUUGAUUGUUUAGAGUCUUUCAUCAACUGAUCAUGAAAGAUUUAAUUGUAUUCUCCAUGUAUUUGUUUAUAUUUGUGCUUUCACUUGUUGACAUACAGAAGAACAAAAAAUAUCUGAAUCUGUUGGCUUUUGUUUGGAGAACUUCCAAAGCACCAGUUUAUUCAUAGGAGGAGUUGCUUGUAAUCUUUUAAGGUUUUUGCACAUGUGAUGUCGUUUUCCUAUCUCCAGUCACUUUUCCUCUCACCUCAAAAUGGUGACUUCAGGGUUUCAGCUUCUGCAAUUUCUCUUGGGUCAAGUUAGGCGGUUGAGCUACGACCCAUUAUUUAGCCCAUCUGGAUCCAAGCUUUCUUAGCCCAAGUAGAUUUUUGGCAGUUCAGUCAAACCCGUUUAUUGACCGAAUCCAUUUUAACUUUGCCCAAAUUUGACCCAUUGCAGAAUCACAAAUAAGAUUUGACACAUGUUUUUGAAUUUGAUUGAAGUUAAAUGGUGCAUGCCAGAAUCUCUUAAGGAGCUGCUACUUUGUUGGAAUAGAAGAAGACUACAUAAAGACGAUAAAAAGUUGGGGAACACAAUACCGGCGACUAUAUGGCGGACUGUGGAAGGAGAGAUAUCAGGAUACUUUGAAGGGAAAAAGGAAAAUAUCUGUACCUUUAAGCAUAGAUAUUUAGCUCUCUUAGCAUUUUGGUGUAAAAAUGAAAAUGUACUAGAAGUAGUCAGGAUGGUUAAUUUCCUUGGAUCUUUUGACAUGUCGUAAGAUGCAUACUAUUGUGGUUGUACUACUUAUCCAUUGC